AGCGCAGGUGGUUUCUUAAGUCUGAUGUAAAAGGCAGUGGCUCAACCAUUGUGUGCAUUGGAAACUGGGAGACUUGAGUGCAGGAGAGGAGAGUGGAAUUCCUAGUGUAGCGGUGAAAUGCGUAGAUAUUAGGAGGAACACCAGUUGCGAAGGCGGCUCUCUGGACUGUAACUGACACUGAGGACACGAAAGGACUGGGAAGCAAACA
This 208-nucleotide ribosomal RNA is filed under the name uncultured bacterium. RNAcentral's name for it is "partial 16S ribosomal RNA". It matches the Rfam family "Bacterial small subunit ribosomal RNA", at positions 568 to 774 of the family's 1533-position model. The record is from RNAcentral.